RNAcentral lists this ribosomal RNA (100 nucleotides) under Danio rerio (zebrafish). The record is from RNAcentral. Lineage: Eukaryota; Metazoa; Chordata; Actinopteri; Cypriniformes; Danionidae.
CCUUAUCACCCUGCAGCUCAAGACCAGUUACUCACAGAAGCUAAGUAGGGCUGAGCCUGGUCAGUACCUGGAUGGAAGACCACAUGGGAAAACUAGGUUG